CAAACUUAAGUGUAAUAUGAAUUGUUUAAUGUUAUAAAAUGUAAAUUAGCAUCUUUUAUAAAUACUCAACUAAUUUACAAUUGCCUCUAGAAUUGCAAAUAGGAUCACAAAAAGAGCAAGAAAAUGGAAGUUUGGCACUACUCUAAAACAGUACUUUAUUGUGGAAGAAUCUCUUUCAUUUAUGCAUUGGAAAGGAAGGAUUUGACAAAUUAAUAUUUCUUUCUUCUUAUCUCAGCCCUUCUGCUGCUCAAAUGCUCCCUGAGUUCAAAGUGAGGUCCACCUCCAAAGGCAGCAGCAGCAGGACACACAAUACUCCCUACAACGUGGGUGUAUGUAGCUUUUGGGAAUAUGUAGCUUUCGUUUUGCAUACAGUGGCUAAGAGAGAUGAAGUAUUCCCCAUUUCAUGGGCCUGAAGAGUGUCAGUCGUGAGAGUAGAUGUUUAGGAUGUUACCAUGCUCAAUGACAGAUCCUGAAUGACAAGGCACUUGUGUUCCUUAAUAACCUUUUCUUUUAUCUGUUUGUGGUAUUUGGGGUCCUUUGAAGUGUGGAGGCCAGGGCAGAGGUCCCUAUGCCUAGACCUGGGAAAGUUACUGACAGAAUAUUCCACAAGUCUACAGCUAGCUAAAAGGGAGACAGAGAUUAGUAUUUCAAAACAGCCUGUCACUGUCCCUCACUCCCCACAAAAAAGUCGUCAUUUUGAUGUUAGGGAGGAAAAAGUGAAUGCAAAUUGGUAGGAACUAAAGGCAUAAGCCACAAAGAGGGUAAUCAAGGCAAAAGGGCAUCAGAGAUUCUCUAGCUAUCCAAAUGUGAAAUCAAUGUAACCAAAAGAUAAAAAUCAGUACUUUAAAAAUAGAGCUGCAAUUUGAACCUAUGUCUAGUCCAUAGGCAGAAUUCCUGAUAAGGGGAGAACUUCUUGUAUGUUUUGUAUGUUUAGGAAAAAGAAUGUAGUAGGUUAAUUAAAAUAAAUAAAUAAAAUGGAAGACCUACAUGCAUAGACUAAAGAGGAGACCUUCAAUCAGAGUUUAUUUGCAUAAGGAAUAAAAGGAAUAAUUAAAUUCAUUUUGCAAGUUUGGGAAACAGGUUUGUGGACAGAGAGAAAAGCAAGAAGGGGUGGAAGAGAAGGUCCUCAGGACAGAGAGAGAAGUUUGAGGCAGAUGCACGGCUCUGAGGAAAAAGAUGCCCAGUGAUACUUUCUCUGUGAGAGUAUGGGUGGAGAACAUCGAGACAGUGAUGCCUCAUACUCAAUAGUGCUGGUUCUAAAAGGAAACAAUUAGAAGCAACUGGGAUAGCAAGAAUUUGAAGUCGGCAGGAAGUCAAAGAAAGACGUAACCAUGGAAACAUAAAUGCCAAAAAAAAUCUGGAAUGUUAGAGAAGAAUGUAGCCUCCUCAUAAUACAUGAGAUAUGAGUUCAAGGCGUUUUAUUUAGUUAUUAAAGCAAAGUGUAGCCUCAGAAUUCAGGAGGAGCUUGAAGACAUCAGGGAGGAAGAAAAAGAUGUACCACUUUCUUCAAGUCUUUUCUGAACAAUAAUGGAUUUACUUCUUUCACCAUUGUUCAGCUUGUUCACCUUUCCAAGCAGAAGGAAGAACUGUCAGAAAAGGACAUAAACACAGUGCGUUUGGAGAAGUGAAGGGGAGGCUCCCCAGAGUACAAAAGAGGAGACAUUUCGAGAAGCUUUUGAGGAUGAGGAAGUGUUGCAGGCAUUGGAGUAUCAGAUAUUUCUUUGCAAAAUACUACUGCAUUCCACCUCAGCCGCUCCAUCCUGCCUUGACCAGGAAAGAUACAAGCUAUGCUUCUAUUUCCUGAGGAAAACAAAAGCCAGUGGAGAAGAAGAAAAUGCAAGCAUAGGAAAGGAUAACCUAUGAAAGUAACAUGUUUUAAAAGACGGAAAGAGAAAGAAUCAAAAUAUAAAUAGAGUGAUGUUUCUUUCAGGUAAGCAAGCACUAUGGUUUUUUUUUCCUCAGACACAGAUGAGAAAUAUUUCAAUUCUAGUUAAGAUUUAUUAAGUGUCUAUUACCAGGUUCCACGCUCUGUAUCCUGGAAUUAGAGAUACAAAUGAGAAAAUAUGGGCUCCGCCCAAGGAACUCACACUUCAGUGAGAGGACGAGCCCGUUAAAUUAAGCAAAGAAAAUAAUCACUUACAAAAUUCCUCUGUGAUAGAACCAUGAGUCAAGCACUCCAGGAACAGAGAUGACAUUGAUUCUGCCAGCAGGAACAGGGGAAAACAUUACAAAACAAGUGACAUUUGCUUGUGACUAGAGUUAAAACCAGGAUUUUGCCAGAGAGAUAAGUUGUGAUGGAAAAUUCUAGCAGAGAAAAUGUGAGCAAAGUCACAGAGAAGUGAAACAAAAAUGAAAGGAAAAUUAUAUAGAGACAUUGAUAGACAAGGAGGUGGAUAAUUGAAAGCGUUUGUGUUCCAGGACUUUCUGUUCUCAUAAAAAGAGAAAUCUAUGUUUGAGAGGGCUCAUGUGAAGGGAGGUUUGGAAUGCGAGGCCUUUGGGGAGUGAUAGAGGGUUAAUAAGAAGCAAUAGGUGUGACCUUAGUUAUGAGUUUAGGCCUCAUGAAUUAUAAGUGAGCUAGGAAGCAUGUGUUAUGUGAAUUUCUCUCAGUGAUCAGUGGCUAACAAAGAAUUAAAGUCUUCCUCUCCUGAUUCUUAGUGAAGGUUUCUGCACUAAUAUACAGUAUUGGUUACCGAAACGGUAUUGCAAGAAAGGCCAGACUCUUGUUUUACCCUGGUGGAUGACACAACACAUAGAGAUAGUUAAUAAACAGGCAUAUGACUCGCAAAUUCCCAGAAAAAUCGUUCUGUGAAAAGCCAACCUCUUCAGGCCCUAGUUAGAAUCGAGUAACCACUUAGAGAUUAAAAAUAACAAAACCAGGGGAUUUUGAGCAAUAUGUCUGGCUGGAGUAAAAUUUAGUUACUUUUACCAAACAAAGUUACUUUCACUAACAUUACCCAGAAUCACUGAAGCACAGAGCAAUAGGAGAUCAAAGGAACAGUCACCAACCCCAAAUCCAAAAAUCAAAGGCACAGCUGGGUGUGCGCACACACACACACACACACACACACAUAUACACACGUGCCUUGGCCCUUAGCUAAAAGACUCUUAAUAUAUUUUCAAACUGUUACUAUGGAAAAUUUUAAACAUAUACAAAAGUAAGAACAGUAAAAUGAACAUUCUUAUACCUAUUACCCAGCUUCAAUAAUUAUAAUCUCAUGGCCAGUCUAGGCUGAUGAGUUGUUAACUUCUUUUCUGUUUCAAGAGGUUUUAUAGAGACCUGAGCAGUUGUAUAAAAGAUGACAGAUGUAUUCAAGAGAACAGAAACUAUUUCAUGCCUACAAAGAGUACAUAUCGGCUUAACAAGGUUGUAAAAUAUAAAGCCAAAGGUUGCAAAAGCCUCUUUUCAAAUAUGCAUAGAAUGAACCAUAAAGAGCACACAGAACAAUUGUAUUCCAUCCUCACAAAAGACCAAUAAAAUUAUAGAGCUUAAAAUGCCCCCAGAGGGUUUAUAUAAGCUCCAAAUAAUUUUUGACUACAGCAUAAUUUAACACUGGAAGGGGCUUCUAUGGGAAGCUAUUAAUUUCCAUCUGUGAUGAUCAUUAAAAAUAUCAUCGACAUCCAUUUAUCUUUGGGGCACAGAGCUGUCACUUAAGUAUCUUUCUAUCUUAUUCAUUUAUUUGUGUAUUAAAUCAAAUUUUACUACAUGGAAUUCAAACAGUUAUGCUGAAUUCUAAGUGAUGCAAUCAAUUUUUUAAUGCAGAAAUGUGUUAAUAUUUCCAAUUUGGUGUAAGUGCAGUUAAUUUGCUAAGGAUUUAUGUGAUAUGGUACUUACGAUUUUAUGGGAAAAAGCAAUCAACAAUUUUGUCUAUCUUUGUUAAUUUAAUCAGUUUACAAAUAAAUAUAUAUAUAUUUAUUUUUAUAUAUAGCUUUCAUCUGAUUAUUAAA
Equus caballus (horse) is the source of this 3945-nucleotide long non-coding RNA. RefSeq lists it as uncharacterized. The record is from RefSeq and is a predicted model, not a curated record. Lineage: Eukaryota; Metazoa; Chordata; Mammalia; Perissodactyla; Equidae.